GGAGAGAUGGCAGAGCGGUCUAAUGCGGCGGUCUUGAAAACCGUUGACUGUCACAGGUCCGGGGGUUCGAAUCCCUCUCUCUCCGCCA
RNAcentral lists this transfer RNA (88 nucleotides) under Bacteroidota bacterium. RNAcentral describes it as "tRNA-Ser". It matches the Rfam family "tRNA". From Rfam's summary of the family: Transfer RNA (tRNA) molecules are approximately 80 nucleotides in length. Their secondary structure includes four short double-helical elements and three loops (D, anti-codon, and T loops). RNAcentral also lists the same sequence under 1 other name. The record is from RNAcentral. Lineage: Bacteria; Pseudomonadati; Bacteroidota.